This 1640-nucleotide long non-coding RNA is filed under the name Sus scrofa (pig). RNAcentral describes it as "lncRNA (ENSSSCG00030070868.1)". Lineage: Eukaryota; Metazoa; Chordata; Mammalia; Artiodactyla; Suidae. The record is from RNAcentral.
CGGGACCCGUCGGGCGUCCCGGCCUCGGGGAAGGUCCGCAGGACAAACAGGGAACCAGGCGAGGUUCCCUGAACUGGGCGAGGAGGGGCCUCCGGCAGCGAUGGCCCCGGCGCCCAGGCCUGUAAGUGUGCAGACAGCGGGCUCUCAGCAUCCUGCAAUUCUCCUCAAGGUGAGACCUUCCCAGCCCCCGGCCCCAGCCCACGUGCGGAUCCCUGGUUACCCCCAUGCUCCGGUGUUGCCCAGUGCAGGCCUGGAGCAGCCAGGGAGCCACAGGGACCUGAAACAACACGCGUCUGUGUGUGACUCAGCCGGGGCUUCCCCGCAGCCUCUGGGCGCAGGAAGUUUACCUGGGAGGGGAGGCUGGAGAGGAGCCAGGGGGGAGAGGCAGGGGGCUGCAGACCCCGGGAGACCUGUCCAGCCGCUGGACAGUAUGGGCAGCUCUGGGGCCAGGACGAGGAGUCUGAGUGCAGGCAGGAGCUCCUUCUGCAGCCCAGCAAAUCCUCCACUGGUCUGGGUGAUCAGAGGGGGUGCCUGCCCGCGGGGGCUCACAGUGGCGUCUGUCCAGACUGUGCCUGCAGCCACCUCAACAGCCUUCAGGUCAGAUGGGCCACCUCUUCUGAUUGAGGCAACAGGAGGGUGAGCUGAUAGGUCCUCACCCCACGCUUGGCAAAUGCCAAGGGCCCGUCCCUGCAAACAAAGAACCAAGGUCAGUGGGUCAGGGAGGGAGGAAGAGCCUCCCUGAAACUGCCCCAGCUCCGCCCCUGGAUAGUGGGGGGCCAGGUCCACAAAGCUCCCGCCCCCGAAAAGACAGAGGUAACCGGCUCCCGGGAAGCAAGCGGCUGCCUGCCUGCCGGGGGCACAGAGGAGCUGCUGCCGGCUUGGCCUGGCGGGUCCGCACCUGAUGGGUCAGUAAUCCGGAGGGUGAGCCCCCUUCGUCUGUUCCUCAGAGAACAGGGCCACCCUUUCUGGCUUCACGGUAGCAGGAAGGAGUUCUGGGCCAGGUCUGGAUUGACAGCAGCUGCCUGGGGGUUAGGUUGAAGGCAGAACACUGAUUUCAGGCCAGGUCCUCUCUGCCGAGGAGGCAGUAGAAUUUUCUGGAAGCUUCUGAAUGCCUUAGAAUCUCCUGAAUGCAGGUCCCAGGCCGGCUCUGCAGGCCGAAGAGUGCUGGGCACCCGGAGCUGGGACGCAGGUGGGCUGCCGUGGGGCACAGCCAGGGCAUUCUCUGCAGCAGCCGGCUGUUAGGGGGAAGCCGAACCAAAGGGGGGGGGUUCCUGGGCCCCGGGCCUGGGCCCUGCUCCUGGGUCCUCCCCAGGUGGGCUCUGGGGCCUCCGCUGAGCCCCCAGGUCAGGGUCAGGGCGUGGCAUCCUGUGCAAAGAGCUGGGGGGUCCUAACUGCGAGGCGCCCCCGCCCCUGCAUGGGCCCAGCCAGCUGGACACCAUCAGGCUCCCUGCCCGCGUCUCCCGAGCCCAGCUGCAGGUGCGCACGAGCAGACCCAGGUGGGCGAGAAGCCCAGCCUCGCUUGCUGCCUCUGAACCACCAGCCCUCACGUGGUGACGUGGCUCCGGGCGAAGCGUGGGAGGCGCCACGGGAAGCUGCCAGGAGAGGGGUCUUGCAGACUCCCGGCUGCCCGCAGCACACAG